RNAcentral lists this ribosomal RNA (403 nucleotides) under uncultured bacterium. RNAcentral's name for it is "partial 16S ribosomal RNA". It matches the Rfam family "Bacterial small subunit ribosomal RNA", at positions 30 to 526 of the family's 1533-position model. The record is from RNAcentral.
AUUGAACGCUGGCGGCAGGCCUAACACAUGCAAGUCGAGCGAGCGGCGGACGGGUGAGUAAUGUAUGGGGACUGCCCGAUAGAGGUGGAUAACUGCUGGAAACGGUAGCUAAUACCGCAUACUAUCGGAUAACCCAUAUGGGAUUAGCUAGUAGGUGAGGUAAUGGCUAACCUAGGCGACGAUCCCUAGUUGGUCUGAGAGGAUGAUCAGCCACACUGGAACUGAGACACGGCCCAGACUCCUACGGAGGCAGCAGUGGGGAAUAUUGCGCAAUGGGCGAAAGCCUGACGGAGCCAUGCCGCGUGAGUGAAGAAGGCUCUAGGGUUGUAAAGUACUGUCAGUAGAGAAGCGGUACCUAAAGAGGAAGCACCGGCUAACUACGUGCCAGCAGCCGCGGUAAUAC